GUGAGUGUAGCUCAGUCGGUAAGAGCACCAGAUUGUGGUUCUGGGGGUCGGGGGUUCGAAUCCCCUCACUCACCCCA
Molecule: transfer RNA, 77 nt
Filed under: Pseudomonadota bacterium
Lineage: Bacteria; Pseudomonadati; Pseudomonadota
Also listed under: 2 other names
Description: tRNA-His
Rfam family: tRNA
About the family: Transfer RNA (tRNA) molecules are approximately 80 nucleotides in length. Their secondary structure includes four short double-helical elements and three loops (D, anti-codon, and T loops). Further hydrogen bonds mediate the characteristic L-shaped molecular structure. tRNAs have two regions of fundamental functional importance: the anti-codon, which is responsible for specific mRNA codon recognition, and the 3' end, to which the tRNAs corresponding amino acid is attached (by aminoacyl-tRNA synthetases). tRNAs cope with the degeneracy of the genetic code in two manners: having more than one tRNA (with a specific anti-codon) for a particular amino acid; and 'wobble' base-pairing, i.e. permitting non-standard base-pairing at the 3rd anti-codon position.
Source: RNAcentral